This 73-nucleotide transfer RNA is filed under the name Chloroflexota bacterium. RNAcentral describes it as "Chloroflexi bacterium (anaerobic digester metagenome) tRNA-Ile". It matches the Rfam family "tRNA". Rfam says of the family: Transfer RNA (tRNA) molecules are approximately 80 nucleotides in length. Their secondary structure includes four short double-helical elements and three loops (D, anti-codon, and T loops). Further hydrogen bonds mediate the characteristic L-shaped molecular structure. tRNAs have two regions of fundamental functional importance: the anti-codon, which is responsible for specific mRNA codon recognition, and the 3' end, to which the tRNAs corresponding amino acid is attached (by aminoacyl-tRNA synthetases). tRNAs cope with the degeneracy of the genetic code in two manners: having more than one tRNA (with a specific anti-codon) for a particular amino acid; and 'wobble' base-pairing, i.e. permitting non-standard base-pairing at the 3rd anti-codon position. Lineage: Bacteria; Bacillati; Chloroflexota. RNAcentral also lists the same sequence under 3 other names. The record is from RNAcentral.
GGGCCCAUAGCUCAGCGGUUAGAGCAGCCGGCUCAUAACCGGUCGGUCCCAGGUUCGAAUCCUGGUGGGCCCA